Long non-coding RNA from Cavia porcellus (domestic guinea pig), 5235 nucleotides. RefSeq lists it as uncharacterized. The transcript is spliced from 3 exons. NCBI's taxonomy places the organism in Eukaryota, Metazoa, Chordata, Mammalia, Rodentia, Caviidae. The record is from RefSeq and is a predicted model, not a curated record.
GAGAGAAAUUCUUAGGAAUUAAUCUCAGAAAUGAAGUAAAAUACCUAUAUAGGGUAAAUUAUAAUACCCUGAAAAAGAAAUCAAAGUUGGUCUCAGAAAAUGGAAAGACAACCCUUGCUCAAGGAUAGGAAGAAUAAAUAUAGUGAAAAUGGCCAUUCUCCCAAAACUGUUAUAAAGAUUCAGUGCAAUCCCAAUAAAAAUACCAUCAACAAACCACAUAGAUCUAGAAAAAUCACUCCUAAAAUUUAUCUUGAACCAGAAGAGAACUGGAAUGGCAAAAGCAGUUCUAAGCAACAAAGGCAAGGCAGGAGGCAUCACAAUCCCUAACUUGAAGUUAUAUGACAAAACUACUGUAAUAAACUCAACAUGGUUUUGGAAUAAAAACAGAUCUGACGAUCAAUAGAAUAGAUUAGAUUAUACAAUCACAACUACCGACACACUCAACUACUUUAUCUUUAAUAAAGUGGCCUAACAUGUUCACUGGAAGAUCAAUAGUCUUUUUAAUAAAUGGUGCUGGAAAAACUGGCUUUCCAUAUGCUGAAAACUAAAACUAUUCCCAUGGCUAUCACCAUGUACUAAACUAAAUUCUAAAUAGAUCAAAGAUCUGACAGAAACACUAAAUCUGUUGGAAGACAAAUUAGGUAAAAAUCUUGACGACAUUGGGGUAGAUAGAAAAUUCAAGAACAGGAAUCAAAGUGCAUGGGAAAUACUUCGCAGAAUCAAUAACUGGGAUCACAUAUUAUUAACAUGUUUCUGCAUAUUAAAAGAAAUAUUCAGCAGAGUGAAAAGAAAACCCACAAACUGGGAAAAAAAUCUUAGUGAACUGUCCCUCAGAUAAAGGAUUUCUCUCUAAAACAUGUUAAGAAAUUUAAAAAAAAAAUCAGACUCCAAAAAUUCAAAGACCCAAUCCAAAAAUGGCAUCUGAGAUGAAUACUCAGUUCUCAGAUGAAGAAAUACAAAUGGCAAAUAAAUACAUGAAAAAAUGUUCAUCAUCAUUGAUCAUUAGAGAAAUGCCAAUUAAAACCACACUGACAUUCCAUCUCAUUCCAGAAAGAAUGGCCAGGAUCAAGAAAACUACCAACAACAAAUGCUGGAGUGACUGUGGGGGAAAAGGAACUGGUUUAGACUGGUGCAAUCAUUAUGGAGAUCAGUCUGGAGAUUCUUCAAGAAUCUGGAAUUGGAAUUCCCAUUCGACCCAGCUAUUCCACUUCUAGGCAUAUUCCCAGAGGAACUGAAAAUAUCAUACAACAGUGAUAUAUGUGUACCCAUGUUGAUAGCAGCACAAUUUGUAAUAACCAGAUCUGGAAACAACCUAAUUGUCCAUUAACUGAAGAAUGGAUAAAAAAGGUUGUGGUAUUUUUUAUGCAAUGGAGUACUCCUGGGCUAUAAAGAAUGAUCACAUUGAGAUAUUUAUAAAUAAAUGGACGCAACUUGAGACCAUACUCAUAAGUCACACUCACAACAAAGACCAGGGCUAUCCUGAAAGGCACCACAGGUGUCCUCAGUGACACGGAGGCCCUGGGCUCCUCCGAGGACAAGCACUGUCAGGUAUGUGCCAGGAAGCAGCAUGACAAAUUCAUCCUGGAGGCCAAGCAGCAUAUGUCUCCCCCUCCAAAGCCAGGAAGCAAUGCUCGAUUGGACCAAACCUCUCCAAGGGAACCAACAGCUCAGACAGCAAAUCGUAGGAGAACCCACAAUGGCUCCCUAACACCUCAACCCUCAUCUCCCUUCUUCUACACCUAUUUAUCCUGAAAACUUUCCUCAGGUGGAGCAACUUCAUUCAGUGCCAUGCUGAUAUAAUCCAGCUGGCAUUAAGUUGACCACCAGUUCUCAAUCCAUAGCAUUGAUUUUACUAUGGUUGCUUUGUAGUAUAACUUCAAGUCAGGGAUUGUGAUGCCUCCUGACUUGUCUUUGUUGCUGAGAACUUUCUUUGCUAUUCUAGGUCUCUUCUCACUCCAGAUGAAUUUUAGGAGUGAUUUCUCUAGAUCUAUGAGGUAACAAAACAUGAAUCAUGGAUGGACACAGAGUGAUAUUCAAAGAUUUGAGUUCAACAUGCUUGCCUUAAUCUGUAAAUAUUGAUGUGAUAUGCAUUGAUUACAUCUUCAACAUGAGGUUAUAGUGGAGCUGACAGAGAAGAAGCAAUGAAUGUCCCUUGGUGCAGACUGGACAGUCAUAUUCCAGAUGUCCAACAGCUAAGGUUUAACCAAACAAAAAGGAGGGAUAUGUUAGAGCCAUUGAAGCUGAAUACUCAUGCAGGGCUGUGAUGUGGCCCAGGCAUGAUUAAACUGAGAAUGAAGAGAUGCCUCCUGGGACAAGACAGGCCACAGCUGAGGCCACCUAGAUAUUUUCUGUGGGAUAGUUCUCUGCAGUUGGCAUCAUCUGUUUCUCUGAGGGGUCUUGAACCUCUACCAAGAUCCUUAUCAGGUUUCCUCCAUUGUCCACUCAACUCCUGCCAGCAUGAGUUGGCCAGCUGGCUAGCAGAGUGAUGAGCUCUGCCAUGGAUCACUCUUCUCAUGCAGCCCUGAAGACCAUGUUGUGUUUCUCAUUUCUUAGAGCCUUCUUGGGACCCUUUAUUGCCAUCUUGGUGCCUAAGAAAAGACCCCAACAUGAAAUAUAAAAUGUAUCUGUUUUAAAGACUCAGCACUGAAAUCUGGUAUUGUUGGAUGAUGACAGGACCAAGUAUCAAACCUGUUUAAGACAAUUCAAGUAUAUAGAAGUUGUUCUUUUGCACUGUAUUUUUUUUUUUGGUUCACCAAUGCCAAAUCCUCUUACAUGACACAACUUUCCUCAAGACAUUUCCAAUCCAAUCAAUGACCUACAUCUGAAUUAUUUUCUGUAGGACACACACAUAGAUACGCAGGUUUUAUGAUAUGUCUCCACCCAGUCAUCCUGAUGAGAAAAUUAACAUUCUGGAGCCAUCUCAGGCCAGAGAGGAGAAACAGAAAUCUAAUUUUCCCUUCCUGUGAGCUGGUGGAAGUCAUAAGGGGAAUGGUGGAAAACUAGCCAACAUGCCCAUGUUGUGAUUCUGUGGAAGCUAUUCCAUUUCUCAGAAGAAAAGCAAGAAACUUACACUUCCUGUGAGCUAACUACUGUAUUGGCUGGGAGAGGAGCACCACAAUCACCUCCUCCCACCACCAUCUGACUGGUUUAGAGGACAUGCUGAGUUGAUAGCAAUGGAGGUAUAAAAACAACUUAAUCCUUGUAUUACUUGAUUGACUUUGCAGCCUAAGGAUAGUAUUCUUAAGCAUGUAUUUAAAUUGUGAAAUAAUGGUAAAAAAAAGUUGCAACAACUUCAUAAGUAUAUGAAACUUAACACUCUCCUAAACACCCAAUGGGUAACAGAUGAAAAAAGGAAGAAACUUAAAAAUAUCUACAACCUAACAAGAAUAUAGAUGCAAAAUCCUGUACCUUAUGGGAUUCAAUGAAAGCAGUCCAAAUAAGGAAAUUUAUAGUAGUCAAAUCUCACAUCAGGAAAUAGAAAGAACACAAACAAAUAAUGAAGUGUUGCAUCUCAAUCUUCCAGAAGAAGAAUGGCAAGACAAACACAAAUCCCAUACAAGGGAGGAAAUUAUAAGACCAGACAAGAAAGUCAUGCAAUGCAGAACAAGAAAAAUAUUCAAAGGAUUAACAAAUCAAACAGGUGGUUCACUGGAAGAAUAAACAAAAUUGAUUAACCCUUGGACAAUCAUAUCAAAAAAGAAAAAAAUAAAGAUUGAAAAACCAUGCACUGAGGAAUCAGAAGGAUAAAAUAACUACAGAUCUUGUGAAAAUUCAGAAGAUCAUCAAAAUCUACUGGAAAAAUGUAUACUUUCAUAGGUUAGAAAAUAUAGAAAUGCACCGAUACCUAGAUAAAUAUGAAAUGCCAAUUCUGUUCCAAGAAGAUAUAAAAAUUCUGAAAAACACAGUAUCAGUUAAUGAGAAUGAAGAUUUAAUAAAAAUUUAUCAGCUGCUGGGAAUGGUGGUACAGAACUUUGGAGGCUAAGGUACAAGUAUUGUUUUGAGUUUGAGACUAAACAAGGCUACAAAGUGAGCUCAAGGCCAACUUGAACUGAAUGAGAGCUGGUCUCAUGAGCACAUUGAAAAAUAAGAAAAACAAUGACAACAGAAAAGCAAAUGAUCAACAUAAAAAAAGUCUAGGUCCUGGUGGAUUUACUGCUGGAUUCUACAAUAAAUGUAGAAAAAAAAUUUAAGGCCACGGCUGUUUAAUGAUAUUGAAAGAGAAGCUCUUCUCCCUAACUCAUGCCUUGAGGCAAGUAUUACCCCGAUACUAACACCAGAGGAAGACCCAACCAAAAGAAGAAAACUAUGGGACAGUUUUCCUAAUGAACAUAGAAGCAAAAGUCCUUGACAAGACACUAGCAAAGUGAAUGUAGCAAAUAAUAAAGAAGAUUUUAAAACCUGACCAACUUGGAUUCAUCCCAGGAAGGCAGGGAUGUUUCAGUACAUGCAAAUCAACAAAUUUAAAUGUCAUAUCAACACAGGCAAAAACAAAAGUCACAUGGUGAUCAUCUCAAUAAAUGCACAAUAAGCUUUUGAUAAAGUCAAGCACUGAACUGUGAUAAAACCCUACAGUAAAUAACAACAGAUGACCUUUACCUCAAGCUGAUAAAAUAAAAUAAUGACGGGGCUGGGGAUUUAGCUCAGUGGCAUAAGCACCUGCCUUGCAAUUGUGUGGUCAUGAGUACAAUUACCAGUACCAAUAAAAAAGAAAAUGACAAAAAAUUCAGACAAUGACAAAGAAAACCCCGCAUCAUACUAAAUGGAGAAUAACUGAAAACUUUCAUUCUACAGUUAUAAAAGGACAUGGAUGACUACUAUGACCACUCCUAUUCAAUAUAGCUCUGGAAACACUAGACAAAACAAUUAGACAUAAGAGAGAAAUAAGAAUAAGUAUAUAAUAGAAAAUAGUUAAAUUAUCAUUAUUCAAAGAUGAUAUGAUAUUCUAAAUAGAAGAUGCUGAAAACUCCACCAAAACAGUCCUAGAAUUAAUAAGCAAAUUCAAAAAUGUAGCUGGAGACAAAGUUGACAAUCAAAAAUCAAUAGAUUCCUGUACACAAUCAACAAACUCACCAAGAGAGAAGUUACAGAAACCACACCAUUUAAAAUAUCCUCCAAGUAAAUGAAAUACUUGGAAAGAACCUAACAAAGAAAGUAAAGUACUUACAUAUUGAAAAUUAUAGUACUUUGGAAAUGAUAUUGAAGAUUAUCAGAAAAUAGAAAAAUAUCCCCUGCCCA